AUUGAACGCUGGCGGCAUGCUUUACACAUGCAAGUCGGACGGCAGCGGGGUAGUGCUUGCACUACUGCCGGCGAGUGGCGAACGGGUGAGUAAUAUAUUGGAACGUACCGAGUAAUGGGGGAUAACCAAUCGAAAGAUUGGCUAAUACCGCAUACGCUCUGAGGAGGAAAGCAGGGGACCUUCGGGCCUUGCGUUAUUCGAGCGGCCAAUAUCUGAUUAGCUAGUUGGUGGGGUAAGGGCCUACCAAGGCGACGAUCAGUAGCGGGUCUGAGAGGAUGAUCCGCCACACUGGGACUGAGACGCGGCCCAGACUCCUACGGGAGGCAGCAGUGGGGAAUUUUGGACAAUGGGCGCAAGCCUGAUCCAGCCAUGCCGCGUGUCUGAAGAAGGCCUUCGGGUUGUAAAGGACUUUUGUUAGGGAAGAAAAAGGAGCGGUUAAUACCCGUUUCUGCUGACGGUACCUAAAGAAUAAGCACCGGCUAACUACGUG
This 490-nucleotide ribosomal RNA is filed under the name uncultured bacterium. RNAcentral describes it as "partial 16S ribosomal RNA". It matches the Rfam family "Bacterial small subunit ribosomal RNA", at positions 30 to 507 of the family's 1533-position model. The record is from RNAcentral.